Chelonoidis abingdonii (Abingdon island giant tortoise) is the source of this 118-nucleotide non-coding RNA. Lineage: Eukaryota; Metazoa; Chordata; Testudines; Testudinidae. The record is from RefSeq and is a predicted model, not a curated record.
AGCUUGUUAGUAAGUUUUCCUUCUGCAAGUUAUCUUGUCCUUCUGCUAAAGGUGCACAGGCCUUAUCACUACUGCUUUAGACCGGUUUUAGCUGUGCUGGAACUGAUAAAUGCUUACU